This 467-nucleotide ribosomal RNA is filed under the name Salmonella enterica subsp. enterica serovar Javiana. RNAcentral describes it as "partial 23S ribosomal RNA". It matches the Rfam family "Bacterial large subunit ribosomal RNA", at positions 158 to 666 of the family's 2925-position model. Lineage: Bacteria; Pseudomonadati; Pseudomonadota; Gammaproteobacteria; Enterobacterales; Enterobacteriaceae. The record is from RNAcentral.
CUGAAUCCAUAGGUUAAUGAGGCGAACCGGGGGAACUGAAACAUCUAAGUACCCCGAGGAAAAGAAAUCAACCGAGAUUCCCCCAGUAGCGGCGAGCGAACGGGGAGGAGCCCAGAGCCUGAAUCAGCAUGUGUGUUAGUGGAAGCGUCUGGAAAGGCGCGCGAUACAGGGUGACAGCCCCGUACACAAAAGCGCAUGUGCUGUGAGCUCGAUGAGUAGGGCGGGACACGUGGUAUCCUGUCUGAAUAUGGGGGGACCAUCCUCCAAGGCUAAAUACUCCUGACUGACCGAUAGUGAACCAGUACCGUGAGGGAAAGGCGAAAAGAACCCCGGCGAGGGGAGUGAAAAAGAACCUGAAACCGUGUACGUACAAGCAGUGGGAGCACCCUUUGGGGUGUGACUGCGUACCUUUUGUAUAAUGGGUCAGCGACUUAUAUUCUGUAGCAAGGUUAACCGAAUAGGGGAGC